GACGAACGCUGGCGGCGUGCUUAACACAUGCCAGUCGAACGGACAGGUCCUGCUUUUGUGGGGUGCUCGAGUGGCGAACGGGUGAGUAACACGUGAGUAACCUGCCCUUGACUUUGGGAUAACUUCAGGAAACUGGGGCUAAUACCGGAUAGGAGCUCCUGCUGCAUGGUGGGGGUUGGAAAGUUUCGGCGGUUGGGGAUGGACGCGCGCAUUAUCAGCUUGUUGGGGGGGUGGUGGCUGAGCAUGGCUUUGACGGGUAGCCGGCCUGAGAGGGUGACCGGCCACAUCGGGACUGGGAUGCGGCCCAGCCUCCUACCGGAGGCAGCAGUGGAGAGUAUAGCACAACGGGCGGAAGCAUGAUGCAGCAACGCCGUGUGCGGGAUGACGGCCUUCGGGUUGUAAACCGCUUUCGCCUGUGACGAAGCGUGAGUGACGGUAAUGGGUAAAGAAGCCCCGGCUAACUACGUG
This 468-nucleotide ribosomal RNA is filed under the name uncultured bacterium. RNAcentral's name for it is "partial 16S ribosomal RNA". It matches the Rfam family "Bacterial small subunit ribosomal RNA", at positions 28 to 507 of the family's 1533-position model. The record is from RNAcentral.